CUCAUACUUUUACAUUACCAACAAACCAUGUCCACAGCUAAGCUAUUACAUAAACUUCUCUUACUCUGCUGACUUCUCUAUCUACUCUGCACCUGCAAGACUGGGGUUAGGGGAGAGGGGGUGAGCUAUAAAGCCCAAUGAGCAGAAACUAAAAACAUUUGCUUUAAUUCCUCCAUUUUUAGGUAUAUUAUUAUUCAUUUUAUUAUUAUUAUUAUUAUUAUCAUUAUUAUUAUAUUAUUUAACUUUUUUCUUUCUUUUUUUUUUUUUUUAUUCGUGCUUUCAUGAAAUGCAACACAUCACAGCUAAUCACAUAAAGGAUGGUAUUGUCACCAUUAGUCCUCAACAUCUCCAAAUGCCAGGGGCGUAGAAUGGGCCUCACUGGUCUUUCUCUUACAUAACAUAACAUUCUAAAGUGCCAGGGGCGUAGAAUGGGCCUCGCUGGUCUUUCUCUUACAUAGUGCCAGGGGCGUGGAAUGGGCCUCGCUGGUCUUCCAUAACAUAUCAUCAUAGCAUAACAUCAGAGGACUAUGGAUCACCCAACAACCAUCCACAUCAACAUCAAUUUAUGCAAUGCAGCAUAUUCGUGAAUUCUAAUGCAAACAUCCUGAAAUAUUGCAUGGCAUAAUGAUGCAUGGGCAAUGCUUUAUGAUUCAUUCAUUUAUUCAUUUACUUUACUUUAAAACUUAAUGGGAUUGUUCCACUCACCUGGUGACUGAAGCUUUAACAACGAACUCUGAACGACUAUCUCACAACCGGGGGUCUCGGUUCCUCGGGUCCGAACCUACACAGGUGGACUCAAAUGAGGCACCAAACAACAAGAACAUAACUCUAAACAUACCCCCAAAAAAAAAACCUCCUAAAAACACCUCAAAACACUCCUAGGAAGCAUGCAAGAAAAGGCUGGACAGGGCACUUUCGGCGGCACCUUCGGCGGCCGGAAGUCCCUCCAGAGCCGAAAGUCAGGCAGGUUCGGCGGCACCUUCGGC
RNAcentral lists this long non-coding RNA (986 nucleotides) under Manihot esculenta (cassava). RNAcentral's name for it is "long non-coding RNA (MESC_LNC003384)". Lineage: Eukaryota; Viridiplantae; Streptophyta; Magnoliopsida; Malpighiales; Euphorbiaceae. The record is from RNAcentral.